UACGUAGGGUGCGAGCGUUGUCCGGAAUUACUGGGCGUAAAGCGUGCGUAGGUGGUUCGUUAAGUCUGUCGUGAAAGCCCCGGGCUCAACCUGGGAAUGGCGAUGGUGACUGCAAGGCUAGAGUUUGGCAGAGGGGGGUAGAAUUCCACGUGUAGCAGUGAAAUGCGUAGAUAUGUGGAGGAACACCGAUGGCGAAGGCAGCCCCCUGGGUCAAAACUGACGCUCAUGCACGAAAGCGUGGGGAGCAAACAGG
This 253-nucleotide ribosomal RNA is filed under the name uncultured bacterium. RNAcentral's name for it is "partial 16S ribosomal RNA". It matches the Rfam family "Bacterial small subunit ribosomal RNA", at positions 524 to 776 of the family's 1533-position model. The record is from RNAcentral.